Molecule: long non-coding RNA, 782 nt
Organism: Pan troglodytes (chimpanzee)
Lineage: Eukaryota; Metazoa; Chordata; Mammalia; Primates; Hominidae
Exons: 4
Source: RefSeq, a predicted model, not a curated record
UUCAGUAGCUGGAGAUUCCCGCAGCUGCCCCACGUUGGGGGUAGGGCUGGGCAUUUGUUCCUCCCCUAUUGUUCAGUCAUUGGCUGUGGGCGGCCCCAGGAAGAAGGUGUGACCUUGGGUGGGGCAGUCUUCUUCAGCCAAUCCUCAGAAAGGACUAACAGCACUCUCAGCAGAGGGAGACUGAGUCCUUCAUUCCUGGGAGGUGUCUGGGAAGCUCAUCGCAGUGUGCACCGCAGCAGGGCUUGAUCCACCACAUCACAUUCCGCGUUCGCUGCUGCCUGAACUCAUCAAAGUGGACCCAGUGAAAGCUGUGUUGAGGAGAACUGUUCUGGUGCUGAGGCUGGGUACAUUCAUGAGGCCAGGAACAUGAGACUGAAUUCCAAGCAGAGCACCAGGAUAGCUGUAGCAAAAAUCCAGCAACACAAAAUGGACUAAGACACCCAGCAACCCCCAGGAGCAUCAGGGAAGCAGGCAUGAGGUACCUGCUGGGCCCACCGUGCUCACUGCUUUCUCACUGCGUCUGGAGGUCCUGAGUUCACAACAAUGAGAAGUUUUGAGCUGGAUAAAACUGUUCAUUUAUGGAGCAUAUUGGAAAAGGAGGGAUCACACAUGUCUCAGAAACAAUGGGAUGCAUUUCCUGUUUGGUAGAGGGAGGCUUCUAAAAGGUUGAUUGGUUACAAAAUUGCCUCUCUAAAAGACUCCUUUCUAAAGGCAAAUAAGGAAACUGAAAAGCUUAAGAGAUGAAUUAAAGACGAAAAUAAAAAUAAUUAUAUGGUAACUGA